This 484-nucleotide ribosomal RNA is filed under the name uncultured bacterium. Its description in RNAcentral is "partial 16S ribosomal RNA". It matches the Rfam family "Bacterial small subunit ribosomal RNA", at positions 30 to 507 of the family's 1533-position model. The record is from RNAcentral.
AUUGAACGCUGGCGGCAGGCCUAACACAUGCAAGUCGAGCGGAUGAAGGGAGCUUGCUCCUGGAUUCAGCGGCGGACGGGUGAGUAAUGCCUAGGAAUCUGCCUGGUAGUGGGGGAUAACGUCCGGAAGCGGGCGCUAAUACCGCAUACGUCCUGAGGGUGAAAGUGGGGGAUCUUCGGACCUCACGCUAUCAGAUGAGCCUAGGUCGGAUUAGCUAGUUGGUGGGGUAAAGGCCUACCAAGGCGACGAUCCGUAACUGGUCUGAGUGGAUGAUCAGUCACACUGGAAGUGAGACACGGUCCAGGGUCCUGAGGGAGGCAGCAGUGGGGAAUAUUGGACAGUGGGCGAAAGCCUGAUCCAGUCAUGCCGCGUGUGUGGAGAAGGUCUUCGGAUUGUAAAGCACUUUAAGUUGGGAGGAAGGGCAGUAAGUUAAUACCUUGCUGUUUUGACGGUACCAACAGAAUAAGCACCGGCUAACUUCGUG